Oncorhynchus tshawytscha (Chinook salmon) is the source of this 345-nucleotide long non-coding RNA. RefSeq lists it as uncharacterized. Lineage: Eukaryota; Metazoa; Chordata; Actinopteri; Salmoniformes; Salmonidae. The record is from RefSeq and is a predicted model, not a curated record. The transcript has 3 exons.
GGGGUAGUGGAGAAAGUAAUGGUGGAGGAAUGGGAGGAAGCGAGGAGGAGGAGAGCAGUAGGAGAGGUCGGGGAAGAGGUUUUAACAGUAGGAGAAGAGGUUUUAACAGUAGGAGAGGUCGGGGAAGAGGAUUUAACAGUAGGAGAGGUCGGAGAAGAGGAUUUAACAGUAGGAGAGGUCGGGAAGAGGAUUUAACAGUAGGAGAGGUCGGGGAAGAGGAUUUAACAGUAGGAGAAGAGGAUUUAACAGUAGGAGAGGUCGGGGAAGAGGAUUUAACAGUAGGAGAAGAGGAUUUAACAGUAGGAGAGGUCGGGGAAGAGGAUUUAACAGUAGGAGAGGUCGGGG